AACGAACGCUGGCGGCAUGCCUAACACAUGCAAGUCGAACGAGACCUUCGGGGCUAGUGGCGCACGGGUGCGUAACGCGUGGGAACCUGCCCUUAGGUUCGGAAUAACUCCCCGAAAGGGGUGCUAAUACCGGAUAAUGUCUUCGGACCAAAGAUUUAUCGCCUUUGGAUGGGCCCGCGUUGGAUUAGCUAGUUGGUAGGGUAAAAGCCUACCAAGGCGACGAUCCCUAGCUGGUCUGAGAGGAUGAUCAGCCACACUGGGACUGAGACACGGCCCAGACUCCUACGGGAGGCAGCAGUGGGGAAUAUUGGACAAUGGGCGAAAGCCUGAUCCAGCAAUGCCGGGUGAGUGAUGAAGGCCUUAGGGUUGUAAAGCUCUUUUACCCGGGAUGAUAAUGACAGUACCGGGAGAAUAAGCUCCGGCUAACUCCGUG
This 433-nucleotide ribosomal RNA is filed under the name uncultured bacterium. RNAcentral describes it as "partial 16S ribosomal RNA". It matches the Rfam family "Bacterial small subunit ribosomal RNA", at positions 29 to 507 of the family's 1533-position model. The record is from RNAcentral.